CUUGGUCGCCUGAAUCAUGAUGAGACUGCUGAUGUAAUCUCUGUGUUGGAGGACUGAGCUGUAAACACUGGGGUGUUGGAAUCGUAAUCCUCUACCUCUGUUUAGUGAUGGCUUUUCUCGUUUGACCAAAAUUGCUUCUUUCACCCCUCUUUCAAAUCUGUUCUCCCAGUCCAAAAAUCUGGACAUCGUUGUCAUCAAUAGAGUGCCCUUUGUUCUUGAGGUGCCCUCCUGUGCUGCUCAAUGCAUUUAUCUAGCUGUUGUUUAGUUUCUCCUGUGUAGAAGUCCGAGCAGUCCUCACUGCAUUGAACCACAUACACAAUGCUGCUCAGCUGUGAUUUGGGUGUUCUGUCUUUGGGAUGAACCAGUUUUUGUCUGAGAGUGUUAUUAGGUUUGAAGUUUACUGGUAUGUUGUCUAUGGAGAAAAUUCUCCUGAGUUUCUCAGAAACUCCCGACACAUAUGGAAGGACAAUGUUUUGUACCUCUAUGUUCCAUCCUCUGUGCUGUUUUUUUCUGCCAGCUUUGUUGGCCCAUUUUGGGUAACCACAAGCUUGCAGUGAUUUCCUGAUGUGCUUGUGCUCUUUGUGUUUCCCCUUUGUGGCAGAGGGAAGGUUGUCAGCCCGCUAACUCAGAGUUCUGAUAACAGAGAGCUUGUGCUCCACUGGGCGAUGUGAAUCAAAAUGCUCUUGAUCUGUAUGUGUGGGCUUCCAGUAAACCUUACUUUUGAAACUCCCAUCUUCCUCAAUGUGUACCACACAGUCAGGGAAAGGCAGUCCCAACAGUGUUCACUGUCUUUGAUGUUGGGAAUUCUGGGGAACAAGGACACAACAACUGAGAUGGUCAGAGGGGGAUUGAACCAGCAACCCACCAAUUGCGCCACUGUUAAUAAUAAUAAUAAGCUGCUUUAAUGCUGUUUGAACAUACCAUGUCUUAUGGAACUUGUGAAGAUGGACCAAGCAGAACAGAUCGUCAAAGAACCUAACCACAGCAUUUACAGCACUUUGCUGUGGGAGUACAUGUUCACCAGCACCAAUGACGCCGCCCCACUCUCUUCAUCGGAAGCGAGUGGGGCGACGUCUCACUCUCGGAAGGAGACGGAGCAGAAUAAAUUGAUGAUAGUGACUGCAUAAUAUUAGACAACAUUCCCAGUUUUCAGCUGACGUUAACCUAAGAUGAGGACGAUGAAGAAAGCUGUGAGUUUGCGGCAGAGGAGCUGGAACAUAAGAAAUCCAAAGCUAUUGUCUGCACAACAUUUGAAGAAGACAGAGACAGUGAAAUGGAGAAGAUCCAUAACUUUGACUGCAAAUGUCACGGAAGAGAACUCUGCUCUUGGGAAACAGUCCUGCAGCCACAAAGUUUCUCCAGAGUCCAUGUACAAAAUACACCUAUAUUCUUUAGUAGCAGAAAGAGAGUGGUAUAGGACAUGAGAUGCAUCGGCCAUCUUGAAGCUAACAGGUGUAGAGUGGUGACUUCAGUCAUGACAACAUCCAUCAAGAAGAUACCGAUGAAAAGAAAACAUGCCAGGACAUCUUAUAUGAUUGGAGGUGUCGAAGUCUGCAGGAAUACUUUUCAGUUCCUCAUGGGAAUUUGCAGAGCCACGCUGACUGACACUUUGAAAAGAACGAAGCAAGAACACACUUGAGAAAAAGGGGCUCCCUUUUAUCAGCCCAGAGCAAAUUGACAGAGUUUUAGUUUUUUUUAAAGAUCUACACCAAAGAACUUGCCAUUAUGCUGCCUUGUCACCAUCAUGCUGCUUUGUUGCCAUUCUGGACAUAAGGAUUGGCAUGUGAAGUUGCUGCCAGCACAUGUGACCAAAGCCUCAGUGUGGCAUCUCUAUAGGAAGGCUACUAAGGAGCUUGGUUUGUAUAAAUCUUUUGAAAUAUAUAUCAGUUAAUCAAGCUUCAAGGUGCUUUGGAAUCAGCUUCUCCCACACAUAAGGAGCGGUAGGCUCUGCACAGAUCUCUGCUGGCAAUGCCAAUAGAAUGACGGCCAGCUGAUGAGAAGCACAAACCUUCCAGAUGAGAGGAAGACUGCAGCAAUUCAGAAGCAACAUCUUCACCUUGUUCAAAAAGAGAGAGAUUAGGAUGACUAAUGUCAAUGACAGCUUUGAUUUUGCACAGCAUGUAUUUAUCAUUCAUUGCAUAGGUUUUCCUUAUGAAGUACAAUAGACUGCUUGACCAACACAGCUUUUCUUUGAUCUAAUACUUUUUGUCCUGUCUGUCUUCAUUAUGUGCAGUUCCCAACAAACCUGCUUCAACCUGGACCAAUAUACUUCCUGACACCAUGGAAAUAUGGACUUUUUGGUGUCUCCUGUGAAGGGCUGUAAAAGCAGGUGAAUUACCUUAUUGAUGAAGGCACGUUGUUGGGGAAGGGGAGCAAUGAAGACAUCAGCUACAUGCACCACUUCUUCACUCAUUUCAAAGUUGGAGGAGCUGAUCAGGAUCUUCACUGUGACAACAGGACAAAAUAAAAACAACCUUAUGCCUUUGUAUGGCACCUGUGGGGUUGGACACAAGCUUCUCUCCACAUUAAGAAUUCAUUUCUUGACUGCUGACCUCACCAAAUUUGACCCAGACUGUGGCUUUGGGCUAAUCAAACAAGCAUAUAAGAGGGCCAGGGUCAACACACUGGCAGAUAUUAAAAAGGUGAGGCUGUUCCAUCUGGCAGAAAAUUGAAAGUCAGUAAUAUGUGGUCAUUAAGUCAACAGAUAGUGGAAAACAGCUUUCCUGAGAGCCUCCAUCCCACAGCUGGCCGCACUGGAAGAUGGCACAGUGAUAGUCAGGACAUUUGACUGGCCGGCACACCUACUUCUGAAAGCUUUAAAGAAUUAUCAGCACUUAAGCUUUGAUGCCAACACACCUGGUGUAGUGCUAGCUGGGACUCACAUCUUGCUAGCUUUCAGCUGCUGCGUGACCAGGAAGUUCUACCUCCCAUUGCGUGUAUUCCUGCCUUGCCUGCACCAGGACUCUUCAUACAAAGACAGUCAUAUCUUUAUUAAAAGAUUAGGCCUUUCUGUUCCAGUGAAGCCAAAGACAUCACAUGCCCAGCACCAAAAAGCACAACACAGAAGAGUGUGAUGUUGUGACAUUGACAUUUUGGUAUAAUGUAAUUAUUUAUUUAUUUUUUUACAGUUGUGCACACUUUUAAUUAAAAACAUUAACAUUGGCAUGAUCAGAAUCAAGUUAUUAUCCUCGUUUCUCUUUAUGGGUCCC
Molecule: long non-coding RNA, 3209 nt
Organism: Fundulus heteroclitus (mummichog)
Lineage: Eukaryota; Metazoa; Chordata; Actinopteri; Cyprinodontiformes; Fundulidae
Exons: 3
Source: RefSeq, a predicted model, not a curated record